GGAGGAAUACCCAAGUCCGGCUGAAGGGAUCGGUCUUGAAAAUCGACAGGGGCUUAACGGCUCGCGGGGGUUCGAAUCCCUCUUCCUCCG
This 90-nucleotide transfer RNA is filed under the name Staphylococcus aureus. Its description in RNAcentral is "tRNA-Ser". It matches the Rfam family "tRNA". Rfam says of the family: Transfer RNA (tRNA) molecules are approximately 80 nucleotides in length. Their secondary structure includes four short double-helical elements and three loops (D, anti-codon, and T loops). Lineage: Bacteria; Bacillati; Bacillota; Bacilli; Caryophanales; Staphylococcaceae. The record is from RNAcentral. RNAcentral also lists the same sequence under 2 other names.